GACGAACGCUGGCGGCGUGCCUAAUACAUGCAAGUUGAGCGAUGAAGCUUGGUGCUUGCACCAAUUUAAAGAGCAGCGAACGGGUGAGUAACGCGUGGGGAAUCUGCCUUUGAGCGGGGGACAACAUUUGGAAACGAAUGCUAAUACCGCAUAACAACUUUAAACAUAAGUUUUAAGUUUGAAAGAUGCAAUUGCAUCACUCAAAGAUGAUCCCGCGUUGUAUUAGCUAGUUGGUGAGGUAAAGGCUCACCAAGGCGAUGAUACAUAGCCGACCUGAGAGGGUGAUCGGCCACAUUGGGACUGAGACACGGCCCAAACUCCUACGGGAGGCAGCAGUAGGGAAUCUUCGGCAAUGGACGAAAGUCUGACCGAGCAACGCCGCGUGAGUGAAGAAGGUUUUCGGAUCGUAAAACUCUGUUGGUAGAGAAGAACGUUGGUGAGAGUGGAAAGCUCAUCAAGUGACGGUAACUACCCAGAAAGGGACGGCUAACUACGUG
Molecule: ribosomal RNA, 497 nt
Filed under: uncultured bacterium
Lineage: Bacteria
Description: partial 16S ribosomal RNA
Rfam family: Bacterial small subunit ribosomal RNA
Source: RNAcentral